CCCAUGGAAAACCUGUGGUUUAGCACUGAAUUGGAACAAACAGCAACCGAGUUGGCAACCGAGUUUUCCACGAAUUGCUGUUUGUUCUGAUUUAGAGCUAAGGGACAGGUUUUCUGGG
This is a non-coding RNA of Podarcis lilfordi (Lilford's wall lizard), 118 nucleotides long. NCBI's taxonomy places the organism in Eukaryota, Metazoa, Chordata, Lepidosauria, Squamata, Lacertidae. The record is from the annotation of a GenBank genome assembly.